GGGCCGCAGUAUUUUGACUGUGCAAAGGUAGCAUAAUCAUUAGUCUUUUAAUUGAAGGCUGGAAUGAAGGGUUGAACGAGGUGUGUACUGUCUUAUUUUAAUUGGUAAUAGAAUUUAAUUUUUGAGUUAAAAAGCUUAAAUUUUUUUGAAGGACGAGAAGACCCUAUAGAGCUUUAUAUAUUUAUUAUUAAUUUAAUUUUAGUUGUUUUAUUAAUUAUUAGUUUGUAUAUUUUGUUGGGGUGACAAUAAAAUUAAUUUAACUUUUGUUUUUAUUUUACAUUGAUAUAUGAUUAUUUGAUCCAUUUUUGUUGAUUAUAAGAUUAAGUUACCUUAGGGAUAACAGCGUAAUUUUCUUUGAGAGUUCUUAUCGACAAGAAAGAUUGCGACCUCGAUGUUGGAUUAAGGAAAGGUUUUGGUGUAGAAGUUGAAAUAUUAGGUCUGUUCGACC
This 448-nucleotide ribosomal RNA is filed under the name Grylloblattina djakonovi kurentzovi. Its description in RNAcentral is "partial 16S ribosomal RNA". It matches the Rfam family "Bacterial large subunit ribosomal RNA", at positions 1928 to 2586 of the family's 2925-position model. Lineage: Eukaryota; Metazoa; Arthropoda; Insecta; Grylloblattodea; Grylloblattidae. The record is from RNAcentral.